This 484-nucleotide ribosomal RNA is filed under the name uncultured bacterium. Its description in RNAcentral is "bacterial SSU rRNA". It matches the Rfam family "Bacterial small subunit ribosomal RNA", at positions 29 to 507 of the family's 1533-position model. The record is from RNAcentral.
AUGAACGCUAGCGGCAGGCUUAACACAUGCAAGUCGAGGGGCAGCACGGGUAGCAAUACCUGGUGGCGACCGGCGCAAGGGUGCGUAACGCGUGAGCAACAUGCCCUAUACAGGGGGAUAAUCCAGGGAAACUUGGUCUAAUAUCCCAUAGCAUUUAGAGGAGGCAUCUUCACUAAAUUAAAGCUUCGGUGGUAUAGGAUUGGCUCGCGUGACAUUAGCUAGAUGGUGAGGUAACGGCCCACCAUGGCUAUGAUGUCUAGGGGUUCUGAGAGGAAGACCCCCCACACUGGGACUGAGACACGGCCCAGACUCCUACGGGAGGCAGCAGUGAGGAAUAUUGGACAAUGGAUGGAAAUCUGAUCCAGCCAUGCCGACGUGCAGGAAGACGGCCCUAUGGGUUGUAAACUGCUUUUAUAUGGGAGCAAUAAGGUUUACGAGUAGACCGAUGAGAGUACCAUAUGAAUAAGCAUCGGCUAACUCCGUG